RNAcentral lists this small nuclear RNA (107 nucleotides) under Salvator merianae (Argentine black and white tegu). Lineage: Eukaryota; Metazoa; Chordata; Lepidosauria; Squamata; Teiidae. The record is from RNAcentral.
GUGCUCACUUUGGCAACAUAUAUACUAAAGCUGGAAUAAUACAGAGAAGAUUAGCAUGGUCUCUGCACAAGGUUGACACACAAAUUUGUGAAGCGUUCCAUGUUUAA